GAUGAACGCUGGCGGCGUGCCUAAUACAUGCAAGUCGAGCGAACAGACGAGGAGCUUGCUCCUCUGACGUUAGCGGCGGACGGGUGAGUAACACGUGGAUAACCUACCUAUAAGACUGGGAUAACUUCGGGAAACCGGAGCUAAUACCGGAUAAUAUAUUGAACCGCAUGGUUCAAUAGUGAAAGACGGUUUUGCUGUCACUUAUAGAUGGAUCCGCGCCGCAUUAGCUAGUUGGUAAGGUAACGGCUUACCAAGGCAACGAUGCGUAGCCGACCUGAGAGGGUGAUAGGCCACACUGGAACUGAGACACGGUCCAGACUCCUACGGGAGGCAGCAGUAGGGAAUCUUCCGCAAUGGGCGAAAGCCUGACGGAGCAACGCCGCGUGAGUGAUGAAGGUCUUCGGAUCGUAAAACUCUGUUAUGAGGGAAGAACAAAUGUGUAAGUAACUAUGCACGUAUUGACGGUACCUAAUCAGAAAGCCACGGCUAACUACGUG
Molecule: ribosomal RNA, 497 nt
Filed under: uncultured bacterium
Lineage: Bacteria
Description: partial 16S ribosomal RNA
Rfam family: Bacterial small subunit ribosomal RNA
Source: RNAcentral